GACGUAGGGGGCGAGCGUUGUCCGGAUUUAUUGGGCGUAAAGAGCGCGCAGGCGGUCGUUCAAGUCGCGUGUGAAAGCCCCCGGCUCAACUGGGGAGGGUCACGCGAUACUGAUCGACUCGAAGGCAGGAGAGGGAAGUGGAAUUCCCGGUGUAGUGGUGAAAUGCGUAGAUAUCGGGAGGAACACCAGUGGCGAAGGCGACUUCCUGGCCUGUUCUUGACGCUGAGGCGCGAAAGCUAGGGGAGCAAACGGG
RNAcentral lists this ribosomal RNA (253 nucleotides) under uncultured bacterium. RNAcentral describes it as "partial 16S ribosomal RNA". It matches the Rfam family "Bacterial small subunit ribosomal RNA", at positions 524 to 776 of the family's 1533-position model. The record is from RNAcentral.